GACGAACGCUGGCGGCGUGCUUAACACAUGCAAGUCGAACGGAAAGGCCUGCUUUCCCUUGUGGAUUGCGGGUACUCGAGUGGCGAACGGGUGAGUAACACGUGAGUGAUCUGCCCCCAACUUGGGUAUAAGCCUGGGAAACUGGGUCUAAUUCCCGAUAGGACUGCAGGGUGGUGCCUGUGGUGGAAAACGAUUUUCUAGUGGUUGGGGAUGAGCUCGCGGCCUAUCAGCUUGUUGGUGGGGUAAUGGCCUACCAAGGCGGCGACGGGUAGCCGGCCUGAGGGGGUGGACGGCCACAUUGGGACUGAGAUACGGCCCAGACUCCUACGGGAGACAGCAGUGGGGAAUAUUGCACAAUGGGCGGAAGCCUGAUGCAGCGACGCCGCGUGGGGGAUGACGGCCUUCGGGUUGUAAACUCCUUUCGACCGCGAGGAAGCCACCUGGUUGGAAGGGUGGUGACGGUAGUGGUAGAAGAAGCACCGGCUAACUACGUG
Molecule: ribosomal RNA, 494 nt
Filed under: uncultured bacterium
Lineage: Bacteria
Description: partial 16S ribosomal RNA
Rfam family: Bacterial small subunit ribosomal RNA
Source: RNAcentral